CCCGGCUCAAAAUUCUUCAGAGAGGUUCUGCAUUUUUUCAAGCUUCAUCCGCAAGACUUUGGAACCAAUUCCAUAUCAAACAUAUGUAACUUCCAAGUUCUCUGCGAGGUUUAUCUUCAAGAAGAACCUACUAUUGAACUCUUCAAAGAGUAUUUCUAUUUGAACCGCCAGAAUGAAUACACCAACGGCCCCAACUUGGAACUUGGUGGGAUUUCGAUUCAGCGCAGAUGGGAUGUUGUCUUUCCUCUAGUAGUAUUGCCAAGCCAUCCCAAGUAUUGGAACCAAACUUGGUUCUAUUGCAAAGACACGUCGCCAGUUGAUGAAAAACCAAUGUUGGGUUAUCGUGCUGAGCUUAUUGACGCUAAAUAUUCACUCCCUGAUAAGCUUUCG
RNAcentral lists this ribosomal RNA (390 nucleotides) under Triticum aestivum (bread wheat). RNAcentral describes it as "partial small subunit ribosomal RNA". The record is from RNAcentral. Lineage: Eukaryota; Viridiplantae; Streptophyta; Magnoliopsida; Poales; Poaceae.